GGACUCGUAACUCAGCCGGUAGAGCGUGCGCGUACAACGCGUAGGGCGGCGUCCAUGCGUGGGUUCGAAUCCCACCGAGACUA
RNAcentral lists this transfer RNA (83 nucleotides) under Echinostoma caproni. It matches the Rfam family "tRNA". From Rfam's summary of the family: Transfer RNA (tRNA) molecules are approximately 80 nucleotides in length. The record is from Rfam by way of RNAcentral. Lineage: Eukaryota; Metazoa; Platyhelminthes; Trematoda; Plagiorchiida; Echinostomatidae.